Molecule: long non-coding RNA, 545 nt
Organism: Eucalyptus grandis
Lineage: Eukaryota; Viridiplantae; Streptophyta; Magnoliopsida; Myrtales; Myrtaceae
Exons: 3
Source: RefSeq, a predicted model, not a curated record
UGCUCUUGGAAGACCAGCAAGUCACAGGCCUUCCGGUCAAAGGGAGGGCGAUACAGUUGACUGGAAGCUGAAGAUAUUGCUUCCCGCAAUGAGGAGUGACAAAUCUUCCCUUGUUUCAUUCAAUGGGAUUUUAGAAUAUACGAUGGGGAGCAUAUUUUUAGACCAUGCCUAGACAUCGACACACCUGUUAAGGUAGCAACUUGGAGCACAACUUGGAGCAGGCAUAGUGCUGUUUGGAGAGCACAUGUUGAGUGUCGCCGGAGGAGGAGACGUCCGCUGGACAGGGCGGGUCCGGCCAAAGAGAAAAUCUAAGAAUCCUACCAAUUCCCAAAUUGGUAGUUUCCAAACGCCGUUGUUCCCCAAACCCGGUUCCCAGCCGCCCCCUUAAACAAGACUAUCCUCUGCCUCAAAACCCAGUUUCCGACCACUAUUUGCGCCAAAAAAAAAAAACAAAAAGACAAAAAAAAAAAAACAAAGAGGACAAAUUUUACACUACUUGAGCAAAGCAUCAUUUCCGCAGGCUUCAAGCUUCUCACUCUGUUCUA